CCAAAGCUGUGUUCCAGGUGGGGAACACCUAUGGAUGCACCAGGGUGCAACUACUCAGAGUCCAGUGUGCAGAAGGGCCCCUGCUCUAUGCUGUUUCCGUAUCCAAGCCCAAGCUCUUCUAGAGCUUCAGCAAAUCCAAGCCUCCCUGAAUUCCCUGCAAGACCAAACUGAGCCCUACAACCCCCACCACUACAGUUCUGAAGUCCUACAAGAAUGUUGAGAUCCUAAGCCGACUCUCACCCAAAGAGGUAAACAACCAGGGGCCUCCAGGUUGAGAGAAUAUACCCAGACAGGUUCUGCUGCCUGUAGGCUUGAUGUCUUUCCCCUACAACACGCCUUGCUUGCCAGGCUGGAAGAGGGGCUCCAGAAACUUGGGAAACCUGGGCCUGUAGCUGGCAUGUGGAAAAGAGGCCUGGAAAAGCACCAUUCCUGUCCAUGAAGCCGCUGUACCACUACAGGAGGGAGGAACAUCUAGCCCCACACGUGAGUGGAGACACCAGGUGUGGGCAGGUUCCAGUGGUUGCUGCAGCUGAACCUUCCGGAAUUACCAGGAGACCAUCACACAGGCCGUGGACAAGUUCUACAAGAGCCCAGCUCCUGUUCAGAAACCCCAUCUGUGCCUUUGGAGGGACUGCCCUGCGCACACAGGCCCAGCAACCACCAUCUACGGCCCCCAGGACCUAAUCCCCUUCUACUUGGGAUUCGGCAGCAGUAGCCAGAGGGCCCAUAGAAAGAAGAUGGAGGCAA
Molecule: long non-coding RNA, 747 nt
Filed under: Homo sapiens (human)
Lineage: Eukaryota; Metazoa; Chordata; Mammalia; Primates; Hominidae
Description: non-protein coding lnc-ZMYND11-3:1
Source: RNAcentral